Molecule: unclassified non-coding RNA, 334 nt
Filed under: soil metagenome
Description: partial contains 5.8S ribosomal RNA, internal transcribed spacer 2, and large subunit ribosomal RNA
Rfam family: 5.8S ribosomal RNA (bases 1-120)
Source: RNAcentral
GAUGAAGAACGUAGCGAAAUGCGAUAAGUAGUGUGAAUUGCAGAAUUCAGUGAAUCAUCGAAUCUUUGAACGCACAUUGCGCCCGCCAGCACUCUGGCGGGCAUGCCUGUUCGAGCGUCAUUUCAACCAUCAAACCCCAGGCUUGCGUUGGAGCCCUGCGGCUGCCGCAGCCUCCUAAAAGCAGUGGCGGGCUCGCUAUCACACCGAGUGCAGUAGAUUACUCUUCGCUCAGGGCGUGCAGCGGGUUCCGGCCGUGAAACCCCCUACUUUUAAAGGUUGACCUCGGAUCAGGUAGGAAUACCCGCUGAACUUAAGCAUAUCAAUAAGCGGAGGA